GAAUCGCUAGUAAUCGUGGAUCAGAAUGUCACGGUGAAUACGUUCCCGGGCCUUGUACACACCGCCCGUCACACCAUGGGAGUGGACUGCACCAGAAGUGGUUAGCUUAACCUUCGGGAAAGCGAUCACCACGGUGUGGUUCAUGACUGGGGUGAAGUCGUAACAAGGUAGCCGUAGGGGAACCUGCGGCUGGAUCACCUCC
Molecule: ribosomal RNA, 202 nt
Rfam family: Bacterial small subunit ribosomal RNA